This 468-nucleotide ribosomal RNA is filed under the name uncultured bacterium. Its description in RNAcentral is "partial 16S ribosomal RNA". It matches the Rfam family "Bacterial small subunit ribosomal RNA", at positions 28 to 507 of the family's 1533-position model. The record is from RNAcentral.
GACGAACGCUGGCGGCGUGCUUAACACAUGCAAGUCGAACGGAAAGGCCCUGCUUUUGUGGGGUGCUCGAGUGGCGAACGGGUGAGUAACACGUGAGUAACCUGCCCUUGACUUUGGGAUAACUUCAGGAAACUGGGGCUAAUACCGGAUAGGAGCUCCUGCUGCAUGGUGGGGGUUGGAAAGUUUCGGCGGUUGGGGAUGGACUCGCGGCUUAUCAGCUUGUUGGUGAGGUAGUGGCUUACCAAGGCUUUGACGGGUAGCCGGCCUGAGAGGGUGACCGGCCACAUGGGGACUGAGAGACGGCCCAGACUCCUACGGGAGGCAGCAGGGGGGAAUAUUGCACAAUGGGCGGAAGCCUGAUGCAGCAACGUCGCGUGCGGGAUGACGGCCUUCGGGUUGUAAACCGCUUUCGCCUGUGACGAAGCGUGAGUGACGGUAAUGGGUAAAGAAGCACCGGCUAACUACGUG